This 481-nucleotide ribosomal RNA is filed under the name uncultured Thiobacillus sp. Its description in RNAcentral is "bacterial SSU rRNA". It matches the Rfam family "Bacterial small subunit ribosomal RNA", at positions 897 to 1382 of the family's 1533-position model. Lineage: Bacteria; Pseudomonadati; Pseudomonadota; Betaproteobacteria; Nitrosomonadales; Thiobacillaceae. The record is from RNAcentral.
AAACUUAAAGGAAUUGACGGGGGCCCGCACAAGCGGUGGAGCAUGUGGUUUAAUUCGAAGCAACGCGAAGAACCUUACCUACCCUUGACAUGUCCGGAACUUGCCAGAGAUGGCUUGGUGCCCGAAAGGGAAUCGGAACACAGGUGCUGCAUGGCUGUCGUCAGCUCGUGUCGUGAGGUGUUGGGUUAAGUCCCGCAACGAGCGCAACCCUUAUCAUUAGUUGCUACGCAAGGGCACUCUAAUGAGACUGCCGGUGACAAACCGGAGGAAGGUGGGGAUGACGUCAAGUCCUCAUGGCCCUUAUGGGUAGGGCUUCACACGUCAUACAAUGGUCGGUACAGAGGGUUGCCAAGCCGCGAGGCGGAGCCAAUCCCACAAAGCCGAUCGUAGUCCGGAUUGUUCUCUGCAACUCGAGAGCAUGAAGUCGGAAUCGCUAGUAAUCGCAGGUCAGCAUACUGCGGUGAAUACGUUCCCGGGUCUU